RNAcentral lists this ribosomal RNA (462 nucleotides) under uncultured bacterium. RNAcentral describes it as "partial 16S ribosomal RNA". It matches the Rfam family "Bacterial small subunit ribosomal RNA", at positions 29 to 507 of the family's 1533-position model. The record is from RNAcentral.
AACAAACGCUGGCGGCGUGCCUAAUACAUGCAAGUCGAACGGGGAAAGCUUUCGGGUGAGUACUAGUGGCGCACGGGUGAGGAACGCGUGGAUAAUCUGCCUUAGAGUGGGGGAUAACUAGUCGAAAGAUUAGCUAAUACCGCAUAAGACCACGAGAGCUGCGACUUUUGAGGUCAAAGGUUUUUCGCUCUAAGAUGAGUCCGCGUAAGAUUAGCUAGUUGGUGAGGUAACGGCUCACCAAGGCGACGAUCUUUAACUGGUCUGAGAGGAUGAUCAGUCACACUGGAACUGAGACACGGUCCAGACUCCUACGGGAGGCAGCAGUAGGGAAUAUUGCACAAUGGAGGAAACUCUGAUGCAGCGACGCCGCGUGAGUGAUGAAGGCCUUCGGGGCGUAAAGCUCUGUCGCAGGGGAAUAACACAAUGAAGGUACCCUGUAAGAAAGGAUCGGCUAACUUCGUG